CCUACGGGAGGCAGCAGUAGGGAAUCUUCCACAAUGGGCGCAAGCCUGAUGGAGCAACACCGCGUGAGUGAAGAAGGGUUUCGGCUCGUAAAGCUCUGUUGUUGGAGAAGAACGUGCGUGAGAGUAACUGUUCACGCAGUGACGGUAUCCAACCAGAAAGUCACGGCUCACUACGUGCCCGCAGCCGCGGUAAUACGUAGGUGGCAAGCGUUAUCCGGAUUUAUUGGGCGUAAAGCGAGUGCAGGCGGUUGCUUAGGUCUGAUGUGAAAGCCUUCGGCUUAACCGAAGAAGUGCAUCGGAAACCGGGCAACUUGAGUGCAGAAGAGGACAGUGGAACUCCAGGUGUAGCGGUGGAAUGCGUAGAUAUAUGGAAGAACACCAGUGGCGAAGGCGGCUGUCUGGUCUGCAACUGACGCUGAGGCUCGAAAGCAUGGGUAGCGAACAGGAUUAGAUACCCCUGUAGUC
RNAcentral lists this ribosomal RNA (465 nucleotides) under uncultured bacterium. RNAcentral describes it as "partial 16S ribosomal RNA". It matches the Rfam family "Bacterial small subunit ribosomal RNA", at positions 338 to 795 of the family's 1533-position model. The record is from RNAcentral.